Molecule: long non-coding RNA, 305 nt
Organism: Bos taurus (domestic cattle)
Lineage: Eukaryota; Metazoa; Chordata; Mammalia; Artiodactyla; Bovidae
Source: Ensembl
AUGAGACAGAAGAGUCCACCGGUCACUUAUCUAAGCAAAGCACAUUGGGAGCCAUUAGAACUUGCGCCACCCGGCAGACUGUCCUGAACCAGAGAGGAGAAAUCAAGGCCGCCUCACCAUAUGAGACUCAGGGGCUCUUCCUGACUCAGGGAUCGAUUCUGGAUCUUCCCACGUUGUAGGUGGAUUCUUUACCGCCUGAGCCACCAGCACUUCCUAUGUGCACAGCCAGCAGCAGAAUUCCAGUGUAUGUGCAGGUAAGAGACAGCCUUCACCAAUGUGACACCCACUGGAGACUUUGAUUGGGA